CCCCUGUCUUCCCUCCCUGAGACAGGGCCUUAAGUGAUAUUAAGGCGGUUCCCCCGGUUUUACUCCCCUUUAACCGGGGUUUUUUUAU
Molecule: non-coding RNA, 88 nt
Organism: Proteobacteria bacterium SG_bin4
Lineage: Bacteria; Pseudomonadati; Pseudomonadota
Source: Rfam